GUAGGUGGCAAGCGUUGUCCGGAAUUAUUGGGCGUAAAGCGCGCGCAGGCGGUUCUUUAAGUCUGAUGUGAAAGCCCACGGCUCAACCGUGGAGGGUCAUUGGAAACUGGAAAACUUGAGUACAGAAGAGGAAAGCGGAAUUCCACGUGUAGCGGUGAAAUGCGUAGAGAUGUGGAGGAACACCAGUGGCGAAGGCGGCUUUCUGGUCUGUAACUGACGCUGAGGCGCGAAAGCGUGGGGAGCAAACAGGGAUUAGAUACCCUGGUAGUCCACGCCGUAAACGAUGAGUGCUAAGUGUUAGGGGGUUUCCGCCCCCUUAGUGCUGCAGCUAACGCAUUAAGCACUCCGCCUGGGGAUACGGCCGCAAGGCUG
This 372-nucleotide ribosomal RNA is filed under the name uncultured organism. RNAcentral's name for it is "partial 16S ribosomal RNA". It matches the Rfam family "Bacterial small subunit ribosomal RNA", at positions 527 to 896 of the family's 1533-position model. The record is from RNAcentral.